GACGAACGCUGGCGGCGUGCUUAACACAUGCAAGUCGAACGGUAAGGCCUUUCGGGGUCCACGAGUGGCGAACGGGUGAGUAACACGUUGGUGAUCUGCCCUGCACUUCGGGAUAAGCCCGGGAAACUGGGUCUAAUACCGGAUAGGACUGCGCGGUGCAUGCCGUGUGGUGGAAAGAUUUAUCGGUGCAGGAUGGGCCCGCGGCCUAUCAGCUUGUUGGUGGGGUAAUGGCCUACCAAGGCGACGACGGGUAGCCGGCCUGAGAGGGCGACCGGCCACACUGGGACUGAGACACGGCCCAGACUCCUACGGGAGGCAGCAGUGGGGAAUAUUGCACAAUGGGCGCAAGCCUGAUGCAGCGACGCCGCGUGAGGGAUGACGGCCUUCGGGUUGUAAACCUCUUUCAGCAGGGACGAAGCGUGAGUGACGGUACCUGCAGAAGAAGCACCGGCCAACUACGUG
This 462-nucleotide ribosomal RNA is filed under the name uncultured bacterium. RNAcentral's name for it is "partial 16S ribosomal RNA". It matches the Rfam family "Bacterial small subunit ribosomal RNA", at positions 28 to 507 of the family's 1533-position model. The record is from RNAcentral.